GAUUAGCUCAGCGGUAGAGUAGUCGGCUGUUAACCGAUUGGUCGUAGGUUCGAAUCCUACAUC
This 63-nucleotide transfer RNA is filed under the name Campylobacter jejuni. RNAcentral's name for it is "tRNA-Asn". It matches the Rfam family "tRNA", at positions 5 to 66 of the family's 71-position model. From Rfam's summary of the family: Transfer RNA (tRNA) molecules are approximately 80 nucleotides in length. Their secondary structure includes four short double-helical elements and three loops (D, anti-codon, and T loops). The record is from RNAcentral. Lineage: Bacteria; Pseudomonadati; Campylobacterota; Epsilonproteobacteria; Campylobacterales; Campylobacteraceae.